UACGGAGGGUGCUAGCGUUGUUCGGAAUCACUGGGCGUAAAGGGCGUGUAGGCGGUCUGUUAAGUCUGAUGUGAAAUCCCCGAGCUCAACUCGGGAACUGCGUCCGAUACUGGUGGGCUUGAAUCCGGGAGAGGGAUGCGGAAUUCCAGGUGUAGCGGUGAAAUGCGUAGAUAUCUGGAGGAACACCGGUGGCGAAGGCGGCAUCCUGGACCGGCAUUGACGCUGAGGCGCGAAAGCUAGGGGAGCAAACGGG
RNAcentral lists this ribosomal RNA (253 nucleotides) under uncultured bacterium. RNAcentral describes it as "partial 16S ribosomal RNA". It matches the Rfam family "Bacterial small subunit ribosomal RNA", at positions 524 to 776 of the family's 1533-position model. The record is from RNAcentral.